RNAcentral lists this ribosomal RNA (439 nucleotides) under uncultured bacterium. RNAcentral's name for it is "partial 16S ribosomal RNA". It matches the Rfam family "Bacterial small subunit ribosomal RNA", at positions 339 to 795 of the family's 1533-position model. The record is from RNAcentral.
CUACGGGCCGCUCCAGUGAGGAAUAUUGCACAAUGGGGGAAACCCUGAUGCAGCAACGCCGCGUGGAGGAUGACGCAUUUCGGUGUGUAAACUCCUUUUAUAUGUCAAGAAAAUGACGGUAGCAUAUGAAUAAGCACCGGCUAACUCCGUGCCAGCAGCCGCGGUAAUACGGAGGGUGCAAGCGUUACUCGGAAUCACUGGGCGUAAAGGACGCGUAGGCGGGAUGUCAAGUCAGGUGUGAAAUCCUAUGGCUCAACCAUAGAACUGCACUUGAAACUGGCAACCUAGAGUAUGGGAGGGGGAGAUGGAAUUAGUGGUGUAGGGGUAAAAUCCGUAGAUAUCACUAGGAAUACCGAAAGCGAGGGCGAUCUCCUGGAACAUCACUGACGCUAAGGCGUGAAAGCGUGGGGAGCAAACAGGAUUAGAUACCCUUGUAGUC